RNAcentral lists this ribosomal RNA (496 nucleotides) under uncultured bacterium. RNAcentral's name for it is "partial 16S ribosomal RNA". It matches the Rfam family "Bacterial small subunit ribosomal RNA", at positions 29 to 507 of the family's 1533-position model. The record is from RNAcentral.
AUGCACGCUGGCGGCGUGCCUAAUCCAUGCAAGUCGAGCGAACAGACGAGGAGCUUGCUCCUCUGACGUUAGCGGCGGACGGGUGAGUAACACGUGGAUAACCUACCUAUAAGACUGGGAUAACUUCGGGAAACCGGAGCUAAUACCGGAUAAUAUAUUGAACCGCAUGGUUCAAUAGUGAAAGACGGUUUUGCUGUCACUUAUAGAUGGAUCCGCGCCGCAUUAGCUAGUUGGUAAGGUAACGGCUUACCAAGGCAACGAUGCGUAGCCGACCUGAGAGGGUGGUGGCCCACACUGAGACUGCGACAGGCUCCAGACUCCUACGGGGGGCGGAAGUAGGGAAUCUUCAGAAAGGGGCGAAAGCUUGACGGAACAAGGCCGCGGAAGUGAUGAAGGUUUGCGGAUCGUAAAACUUUUUUAUGGGGGAAAAAAAAUUGUGUAAUUACCUAGGCACGUCUUAAGGUUACCUAAUCAGAAACCCGGGACUAACUCCGUG